UACGUAGGUGGCAAACGUUAUCCGGAGUUACUGGGCGUAAAGGGCGUGUAGGCGGUUUGUUAAGUCUGGCGUGAAAGCUCUCGGCUAAACCGGGAGAGGUCGUUGGAUACUGGCAAACUAGAGGAUGGUAGAGGCGUGUGGAAUUCCGGGUGUAGUGGUGAAAUGCGUAGAGAUCCGGAGGAACACCAGUGGCGAAGGCGACACGCUGGGCCAUACCUGACGCUAAAGCGCGACAGCAUGGGGAGCAAACGGG
RNAcentral lists this ribosomal RNA (253 nucleotides) under uncultured bacterium. Its description in RNAcentral is "partial 16S ribosomal RNA". It matches the Rfam family "Bacterial small subunit ribosomal RNA", at positions 524 to 776 of the family's 1533-position model. The record is from RNAcentral.